This 692-nucleotide long non-coding RNA is filed under the name Ictidomys tridecemlineatus (thirteen-lined ground squirrel). RNAcentral describes it as "lncRNA (ENSSTOG00000032279.1)". The record is from RNAcentral. Lineage: Eukaryota; Metazoa; Chordata; Mammalia; Rodentia; Sciuridae.
GGGAAAGCAAUAUUGCCCUUAGGUUUAAGGAAAUCUUUGGUUUGGGGACAGCAAAUCCUUCCAUGAUCUGCCCUUGUAACUAUUUUAAGUUUCAGCUCACAUAACAGCAUCAAAGGACAGAGCCCAGCCCUAGUAUCUUAGACUUGCAGAAAGGAAGGUCAUCCGGAAGAGCAAAACAGGAGUCUCCAGUGCCCGAUCCCUUUGGUCAGAAGGAAUAAGACUGCCAACACAGUUGCUGAGAAGGAGGAUGGAAAACAACUCGCAGAGAUCACACUGGGUGAAUGCCUGAGCAGAGACUGCAGGAUGAAGUUGUGAGAAGGCAAACUUAUGAAGGACACUGGUCAAGAUAUCAGUUUGACCUGAUGCCAUCCCAGCAGCACACCUGGGACUGCUGUCAUCUCGUGAAAGUGAUGAGCUCCCUGAUAUGCACAAGGAGGGCACUCUAACCCAUGAGUUCCAGGAAGAAGAUGAGACACACGUGGGCAGAACCACCCCCAGAGAAGUCUAGCCCAGAUGCUUCAAACCCCAGGUGAAGACUUGUGAGGAACCACAAGUGGUUGUCUUCCUAAGCCACUCGUGUCAGGAUGGUUCAUACCCAGCAGUAGCCAGCUGAUGCUCUCUUCCCCAAAUCACCACAGAUUCCAGGUUCUCCCCUCCUCGGCUUCUUAGAUUUCUUUCUCAUCUAACUUCAU